GUCAUGCUGGCUGAUUUCACACCAUCGGGUAUAGCGCAGCCGGGAUUAUUUGAUGAAAUCCAGCCCCGUAAAAACAGUGAAAAGUUAAUGAAAACACUCGAUGAACUGAACCAGUCGGGAAAAGGGAAAGUGUGGUUUGCGGGGCGAGGAACCGCCCCUGAAUGGCAAAUGAAACGGGAAAUGUUGAGUCAGUGUUAUACAACUAAAUGGCGAGAUAUUCCCCUGGCCAGGCUGGGUUAGUUCAGUCAUCUCCGAACAUAUUUUCAGCGUUUCUUCUGGUCUAGUCUUCACCGUCAUUUCUCGACAGACUCUGCUCUGUAAGGGGAGUACUGCAAUCCACAGACGUAUGGAAACCAGAUUGUUUUUCCAGUAAUUCAAUCAAUUUCUUUUCAACCGAAAAAGCAGGUAAUGACUC
This 415-nucleotide ribosomal RNA is filed under the name Escherichia coli 2-052-05_S4_C2. Its description in RNAcentral is "partial 16S ribosomal RNA". The record is from RNAcentral. Lineage: Bacteria; Pseudomonadati; Pseudomonadota; Gammaproteobacteria; Enterobacterales; Enterobacteriaceae.